AUUGAACGCUGGCGGCAGGCCUAACACAUGCAAGUCGAACGAGAGGCGGACGGGAGAGUAAUGUCCGGGAACCUGCCUGAGGGAGGGGGAUGACUACUGGAAGCGGUAGCUAAUACCGCAUACCAUCGGAUGUGCCGGGAUGGGAAUAGGUGGUGGGUGGGGUAACGGCUCACCAAGGCGACGAUCCGUAGCUGGUCUGAGAGGACGACCAGCCACACUGGAACUGAGACACGGCCCAGACUCCUACGGGAGGCAGCAGUGGGGAAUAUUGGACAAUGGGGGAAAGCCUGAUACAGCCAUGCCGCGUGUAUGAAGAAGGCCUUCGGGUUGUAAAGCACUUUUAGCAGGGAGGCGUUACCUGCAGAAGAAGCACCGGCUAACUACGUGCCAGCAGCCGCGGUAAUAC
This 406-nucleotide ribosomal RNA is filed under the name uncultured bacterium. Its description in RNAcentral is "partial 16S ribosomal RNA". It matches the Rfam family "Bacterial small subunit ribosomal RNA", at positions 29 to 526 of the family's 1533-position model. The record is from RNAcentral.